AUAACGGAUUGAACCAGUUAUUUAUAGACUGAAUACAUAGGUUUAUAAAAGCAAACCCGGGGAACUGAAACAUCUAAGUACCCGGAGGAAAGGAAAUCAACAGAUACUCCCCUAGUAGCGGCGAGCGAACGGGGACCAGCCGAGCCAUGAUUGUGACUAGAAGGACCUGGAAAGGUCCGCCAUAGCGGGUGACAGCCCCGUAUAGGAAGCAAGAUUGGACGUAUUAAGUAGGGCGGGACACGUGAAAUCCUGUCUGAACAUGGGGGGACCACCCUCUAAGGCUAAGUACUCCUUACUGACCGAUAGUGAACCAGUACCGUGAGGGAAAGGUGAAAAGCACCCCGACGAGGGGAGUGAAACAGUUUCUGAAACCGGACGCCUACAAACAGUUGGAGCCUCCUUGAGAGGUGACAGCGUACCUUUUGUAUAAUGGGUCAUCGACUUGGUCUAUCUAGCAAGCUUAAGCCGUUAGGUGUAGGCGUAGCGAAAGCGAGUCUUAAUAGGGCGAAUGAGUUAGAUGGAUCAGACCCGAAACCGAGUGAUCUAGGCAUGAUCAGGAUGAAGGUAAGGUAACACUUACUGGAGGUCCGAACCCACACCUGUUGAAAAAGGUCGGGAUGAAUUGUGCCUAGGGGUGAAAGGCCAAUCAAACUCGGAGAUAGCUGGUUCUCUGCGAAAUCUAUUUAGGUAGAGCGUCAUCCGAAUACCCUCGGGGGUAGAGCACUGGAUGGGUAAUGGGG
This 740-nucleotide ribosomal RNA is filed under the name uncultured bacterium. RNAcentral's name for it is "bacterial LSU rRNA". It matches the Rfam family "Bacterial large subunit ribosomal RNA", at positions 129 to 926 of the family's 2925-position model. The record is from RNAcentral.